Molecule: long non-coding RNA, 340 nt
Organism: Sphaeramia orbicularis (orbiculate cardinalfish)
Lineage: Eukaryota; Metazoa; Chordata; Actinopteri; Kurtiformes; Apogonidae
Exons: 3
Source: RefSeq, a predicted model, not a curated record
GAGACCGGGGCUGAUCCACCACAACAGAUUGGGGGGUGAAUGUUACCAUAGCCCUCUCCAACCCUCCAGGUCUGAGCCUCACAGACGUCAAGUGUUAAUUUAGGGCUCCUGCCGAGCGUGAGCCUGUCAGCAGCAAGGCUUGGAGGAGGGAGAGAGGCGAGGUCUGUAUCUAAGAUCAUGGACACUAGCAGCGAAGACCAGAGAAUAUAGUUUUGACGAAGUGAGAAGAGGGUUCAUUAGACUCCAAGGAUUACCCAAAUAUCCUCUGUCUGUGACUUUCUCAAUGAAAGAGAGAAGAAAAAUUGCUUUGCACUGUAAACAGUUUUGUCAGUUCAUCACU